Molecule: long non-coding RNA, 1573 nt
Filed under: Trifolium pratense (red clover)
Lineage: Eukaryota; Viridiplantae; Streptophyta; Magnoliopsida; Fabales; Fabaceae
Description: long non-coding RNA (TPRA_LNC004341)
Source: RNAcentral
GCUUCUCACAAACGCGACCCUCUCCCUCAACACGGACAAAACCGAACCCUAAACGCCUCUCCGUCGCGAACUUCUCCCUCUUUGCAACAAAGCCCUAAACGCCUCUCCACGAAUCCCCUCUCUCCGAUGCCUCUCGGCGAACCUUCCUUCCUCUGCGACGAAAUCCUUUCUACUACCACCGGUGACUUUGUUCUUCCGCCUCGUUGUUCAGAGUUUUCAAGGUUAAAUCGGUUUUCCUUUCGAUUCUAGUCUUCUCAUUCUUCAAUAGAUUCUGAUUCUAAUUUUCCUUUUGUUUUGCUUCAUUUUGCUUUCAGAGUUUUCAAGGGUUUUUCAACAGUUCUCUUCGUUGUUUCCGCCAUCAUUACGUUCAAGUCUUAAUCAAUAUGUAUCCCUAUUUCUUCAGUAAGUAGAUCCGAACUAUGUUUAUCUCAAUCUUAAUUUUCUAUGAUGUGUGAUACUGUGGUUUCUAAGCUUCGAUUUGGAAUCUGGUAGUUCUGUCCCGAAUUUGCGAUUAGACAAUUUUUUCCCACGUUCUUAAUGCUUGUAGAUUUCUCCACACAUUUAGUUAUCAGUAACUUAUUUAACACCAGUGAUAAUUUAUUCUAGUUAAAUAUAUGAAAUAAGGUAUAAAGAGGUGCUUUUGGUAAAGGUACUUUAAUCUACUGUUCAAUAUCCGCUAAUUUUUGUCAAAUAGAGUCAUACUCUCGUGGAAAUUUGUCUUUGAAAUAACCGAAAUCCCUAAUUUUAUCUUUACCAUUCUGAUUGUAGGAAACUCUCCAGUGUAUGUACAUGUUUUGGAUAUAGAGAUUGGGAACAUGUAGGAAAGCAUUCUAAAUCUGAAUUACCACUUUUGAUGGUUAUGUAAGUUUAUAAUAUAUUUUUGUUGGAUUGCAUACUCUUUAUUUGAUAGNNNNNNNNNNNNNCAUGUACUGAUUGCUUGUAGAAUUUUUGCUUGUGCUUUUUCUCUUCUAAUUUGGUAGUUUAGAAGCAGUGAUGAUUCUUAUGGACGAUUGUACUUUUUAGCAAUAUUGUGAUCAGAAUUUUGUAUUCUAUGUAGGUUAUACAUUUUAUGGAUAUGGUUAUACUUGAAGAACCAAUAGAGGGGUAUCAUUAGUUGAAGCUUGUUUGGAAUCUUCAUUUUUAGUUCUCUUCAUUGACCAACUUAUUAAAAUGAUAUACUAUUCUCAAGUUCUAUCAAUAGACAGACAUUGAUUAUUAUCAUAACUUUCAGGAUAUAUUACAAACUCAAUGGCACUAAGGAUUGGUUGCUUUAAUCAAAGGAAUUUUCUAUUUGUCAUGCGAGAAGUUAAAGUUUGAAAUAAUAUGGUUGGUCUCUUGAACCCUUAAGUUAGCAUGUGAAAAAUUUAAAUUGAACGUGAUGUAUUGUCAGACACUAUUUAUUGUGAGUAUAUAAGUUUUGUUUGUCUUUAGCUUUAGAGCAUACCCUUUUGUUUGUCUUUAGUUAGCAUUUGGUAGAAUUAGAAAAUGUGUCUAAUGCUUAGUAUAUAUCAUAAGUAAAACCGAUACUAUUCUUUGGCACUGAUCUAUUGAUUUGUUCUUUUCUAUUGUGAUU